Alnus glutinosa is the source of this 816-nucleotide long non-coding RNA. RefSeq lists it as uncharacterized. The transcript has 3 exons. The record is from RefSeq and is a predicted model, not a curated record. NCBI's taxonomy places the organism in Eukaryota, Viridiplantae, Streptophyta, Magnoliopsida, Fagales, Betulaceae.
CACGCAGGUCCAGAUCUCUCUCUCUCACUGCACGAUCUCUCCCUUCUCUUCUUCUUUUCUUCCUCCCUCUCUCGGCUCUGUCACGUGCAGCACCCUACUCCUCUCCUUCCUUUUCUUUUCCUCCUCCCUUCUCUUUUCUUCUUCUCCAGCAACGCAGCCCCCCCCCCGUUCCACGAGCAGCCCGACCCCCUCCACUGCAUUUCUCCUUCUCUUCUUCCGGUUUCACAGCACGAUCUCCCUCUCCCCUCUUCCAUCGUCUUCUCCUCUUCCUCUCCUCCCAAACGCACACCCCAGUCCAUGAGUGAACCCAUGACAUAGUGAGAUCGUGAGGGAGAGAUCAACUGAGAGCCGAGUUGAGAGAGGACCCGUGUGUGGAGGGUGAUCCUUGGCCGGUGGUGGGGCGAUUUUUGGAGCUAUGGUGGCUGGACCACCGUCGGGUCAUGGAGGCAGCAACUAGGGCGUGGGUUUCGGCCCUGUUCAGGAUCGUGUCAUUAAUGGAGACUUCAACGGAUCCUUCAAUGUAAAGUUGGAGUCGUGAGUCCAAUGCAGCCAAGUACUCGAGUCGUAGUUGAUGGGGUCGUAGACGUGCAUUUGGGAUAUUAUGACCGGAGCUCGCUGCGAUGGUCGUAAUUUCAGGACCAUGGGCGUCCUCAGUUUUAUAGGUUUUGUUAUGGCUUGUGAUGCAUGUGUCACUCGUUAUUGUAUAAAGCCAUUUCUGUUAUGUAUUUAUAUUGAGGAAAGAUUUAAACACAUAGAUGUUAAAUGGCUCUUGUUGUUAUUAAUUUAUGAUAGAUGUUUAAGAUGUGAUUUCCACUA